AUUGAACGCUGGCGGCAUGCCUUACACAUGCAAGUCGAACGGCAGCGGACCUUCGGGUGCCGGCGAGUGGCGAACGGGUGAGUAAUAUAUCGGAACGUACCUUUCAGUGGGGGAUAACGUAGCGAAAGUUACGCUAAUACCGCAUAUUCUGUGAGCAGGAAAGCAGGGGAUCGCAAGACCUUGCGCUGAUUGAGCGGCCGAUAUCAGAUUAGCUAGUUGGUGAGGUAAAGGCUCACCAAGGCGACGAUCUGUAGCGGGUCUGAGAGGAUGAUCCGCCACACUGGAACUGAGACACGGUCCAGACUCCUACGGGAGGCAGCAGUUGGGGAAUUUUGGACAAUGGGCGGCAAGACCUGAUCC
This 360-nucleotide ribosomal RNA is filed under the name uncultured bacterium. RNAcentral describes it as "bacterial SSU rRNA". It matches the Rfam family "Bacterial small subunit ribosomal RNA", at positions 30 to 389 of the family's 1533-position model. The record is from RNAcentral.